This is a non-coding RNA of Cinara cedri, 15987 nucleotides long. The record is from the annotation of a GenBank genome assembly. NCBI's taxonomy places the organism in Eukaryota, Metazoa, Arthropoda, Insecta, Hemiptera, Aphididae.
UAUUUUUAGGAUGUUGGUGUAUGGAAAGAAAAAUAUGAAUUGCUUAAUGAUACUGUAAGCUUUUUAAUUGCAACUAGUGAAGAUUCAAUAGGUGCACAAUUGAAGCAAGAAUUUUUAAAUAUUACAUCUACGUGGGAAACUAUAUUUGCAGUAAAUAAAAAACUAUUUAACAUACAUUUUAGAAAAUUUGAUGUCACAAAACAUUGUAUUUAUUAUAUAGAGAGCUAAGGAAUACAUGCACUCUGGUGAUAUGAUUAGAAAUCGUAAAGAAUAUUUGGAAGGAUUAGACGUAUUACACAAGUGGAAUUUAAGAGCAGAACAAAUUAUGUCAUCAAUACACUUAAGUUCUUCUCAAAAAAUCAAAGAUUACUUAUGUGAAAUUCAAGUAAUAUACCAUAUAAUUAUUAGUACAUUAUUUUAUUGUUAUUAUAUGUAUUUUUUUUUAUUUUUUAGAAACUUCAAACACAAUUAGAUCAAAUGGAUGAUCUAUUUAAAGCAAUUAGUAAAAAAUGUCAAGUAUUAAUAAAAGAUUUAACAAGAGACGAAGUUAACGAAAUGAUGUUGUGUAUUAAAAAAGAAAAAGGUAAGUAAAUUGAGAUUAAACAUUAAAUUUAUCUAAUAAACAUAAACUAAAAUAGGCUCGUAUUUUAAUUUCAACUCUUAUAAAUCUAAAUACAACUAAAAAUCAAUGUACAAAUAAUUGACUUAUGUUAAAACAAAAGUACGUAAUGUAACACAAUUUUCAAUAAAUUUGACUAAGUAGGUAGGUAUUCAACAAAAUUAUUAGGUAUGUGAUAACCAAAUAUUUUAAUAUUGUUACAUUAAGUACCUACCUAUUAUAAGUUAGUAGUUACAAGUCAUUGACUGUAUAUUUAUUAAUAUUAGUUGUAUAUUUUAAAUACCUACUUAGGUUUAUAACAUAUUUUAUGAUUUAUAAGUAACACAAAUUGUUUUUAUAAUGGUGAUUCCUUCGAUUGGCUAUACUUUUAAAAACAUGUAAUAAAGAGUUGAUGAAGUAAGUGCCUAAGUAUAAUACUCCCAAAAUAAUUCUUAAAAUUUUCAAUAAAUACAAAUAUGUGAAGGUGGACAUAUUACUUUACCUAUAUUUGUACGUUCAGUAAUAAAUUAAUAAACUUGUAUUUAUAUUCAUUUGUAAACAUUUCAUAUUUCUUUUUAUUUAUUUAAUACAAACUAUAAAAUAUUACCACAUGUCGUUAUAUUAAUAAAUAAACAGUUGAACAUGUACCUACCGACUAUUGUGAAAUACAUAAUUACUAUAUUACAAUAUUAUUUUAGUAUUUACACUACCAAUAGAAUAUUACACUAUAGAUCCCUACCAUCCCUAUUUUUAAUGACUAAAUUUAAAAUGAUCAAUAAAUUAUAUUAAUAAAAAUGAUAGUAAAAAAUUUAAAAUAAAAAUAAAAAAAUAAUGUUUUCUACAAAAUUCAAAAUAGAUAGUAAUUUUAUAAAUAAUUUGAUGUAACAAAUAUUUACUAAUGAUGAGUUCAUUUUCAACAAUUUAUUAAGUUCCCGAUACUUAAAAGAUGUUUUAAUUGUCAUUACUAAAUAAUAUCAUCUGAUUUACUAAUUUGUCCAUGAAAAAUAAUUAAAAUAAAAAGACUUACUUCGCAAGAUGGAUGGGCCACUCUUUAACGUAAAAUGUAUGGCAGAAAAGUUUUUCACAGAUAAGAAAAAAAAUUAAUAAUAAUCUUUGUAAAAUCAAUACAUUCCUCACUCCGCUCAAAAUCUAAAAUUAUAGAAAAUCAAUCAUCAAUCUUUAAUAACCAUUUGUAACAGUAAAAUUCGAAUUCAAUAAUAUAGUAAAAACAAAAUUAUUAAAAUAUUGUUCUUGUAUGGAAAUGAUUGAGGUUAAGGUACUUCUUAAGGAAGGGGGGAAUCAAGUACAAUUAUCAUUCCAUGUCACUUUCUUAAUGUUAAUUAUUAAAUUUUUCUUAGUUUCCAUAUUAUUGUCGUCAAUAAAAUCGAUGAUUUCUAUAGUAGUGUACAUUUAAAAAUCGUAUAAACAUCAAAUAUGAGUCAUUUUGUAUCAACUAAUAUUAUAUCAAUCAAAAUUGUUUUAUUUGAAUUCACAUCAUUUUAUGUAAUUUUUUUGUUUAUUGGUCUUUUAUAUGUCUUUUACGUGCCCACCUCAUGAAAUUUUCAAAGGGGUAUAAUCAUUGAUUUUCUGAUUUUUUGACGAAGUAUUAGGAAAAUAAGAAAAAAUUAAAAAUUACCAAUAAGGUGACAUAUAUAUUCCAUAGACUUUGAUUUUUUCUCCCUUAAAAUGUAUCUUAACCUCAAUCAUUUUCAUAUGGGAACAAUUUGUUUCAACUUUGUAAGCCUUGAAACAUAUUGUUAGAUUUGUGCAUACUUUGUAUGUCUUACCUAUUUAAACAAAAUUCAGAAUAAACAAAAAAAAAAAAAACAAUGUAGGUACAUUAAAUGGAAAACUUUAUCUCGUUACAGGAGUACAUAUGAAUUGUUCUAGAAAUUUCAAAUAGGGCUCAAAAUUAAUUUUAAAUUUUAUAGAAAAAAGUUAGGGAACGUCAAAACAAGAAUUCUAGGAAAUCUGGUCCUCCUAGACUCCGAGUUUAGACUACGAAAAGUAGAUUUUGUGUUAUAAUUUUUAAAUUAAACAUAAAAUUUGUUGUUAAUUGAAACAUAGGUGCAUUUAUGUAAGUGAACAAAUAAUAUGUAAAUUAAUUAAAAUUAAUAAAUAUUGAGUAAAUAUUUAUUGUAUGUUAAAUAUUAUAUUGUAAGUUAAUAUAAAAAUACCCCCACCACAGAAAAAAAUUUAAAAACCGCUACUGCCUAUAAUAUGUAUUUUAAUAAUUAUAUUUUUUUUAGAAUCUCUUGUCAAUAUCAGGGCAAGCAUACCAGUUCAACUAAAUGCUCUUCAUCAUAUGCUCGUUCAAUAUGAUGCUCUUGAAUCGGGCCAAAAAGAAAUAGAUAAUUGGUUAAAUAAUUGUGAUGAAUUUUUGUCUACGUUGAAAUUAAGUAAAAAUCAAGAUGUAUUACACAGCGACAUUGAAUAUUUAAAAGUAAGUUUUACGUCAGCGGUAGAUUUUUACUUUUGUAUUUAUUAAUUUUUGUUUUAAAUGUUAAUUUUAGAACAUUAUUAUACGUAUGUCGUAUUACCAAUCUAUGUUGUCCAGCAAGAACAAGAUAUUUCAGAGCAUCAUCAAAUCAAUUCAACCACAAAAUGAUCAAGGGAGUAAUACUGAGUUUGUACAAACAAUGGCUGAUUUGAAUGCUAAAUUUUCCAGGAUAACACAUGAAUGUCAACAAUGGGAUAUGGUUUGUGAACAAUUUUUGUGUAUACUAUAGUAGGUACUGUAAAAUGGGGUCACUCUGGACAAACUAUUAAAUAUUAUUUGUCCUUACUGAUAAGGGUAUUGGAUAGAAUUUGAUAAGAUCUUCAGAUAUCACUUCAAGAAGUUCAAGAUAUUAUAAUGGAGUAAUGGACUUUUAUUGUCCAUGUAAUUUUAAUUAUUUAUUUCGAUAAAUUGUCGGUUUUAGAAUAUACCUAACUAAAUUAUACUAGUAUACAUUGACAACCAGUUGAGUAUGAGUUUUUAUAUCAUUUUUCAUUUAUUUGGUUAAAUGUUGGGGUGUAAUAAAGUAUUUUUAUUAAUAACACUUUUUGUAUUAGUGUUAUUUAAAUAAAUAUCCAUAGGUUGUUAGGAAAUUUGAAUUUUUUAAAUAAAUAUUACGAUUUCGUUAAUUUAAAAAAAAAUUUUAAUCUUGUGCAAAGUUAAUCAAAUGUAUGAAAACAUUAUUAUUUUGUUGAAUAUGAAUAAAUGUCUGACGUUACUCGAAAAAUGGGGUAACUACAGAAAAAGAUAGUUUUAGAAAGUCCAAGCACAAUGGAACACAAUUUAAUAAUGGAUAGGUACCUAAUUAUGACAUUAUUAUUUUUUUUUCUAUUGAAAUUUUAUUAAAACAGUUAUAAUAAUAAUUAACAAUUAGUUAAGAAUAAUGGUUAAAAUUAUAAAAAAAAAAUAAAUACAAUAUUUUAAAUUAUAAAACUAGUCUAAUUGAUGAAUGAAAUAAUUGAUAAGACGAUAGGAGAUAAAAUAUGUUGUUAUUAUUGACUUUUUUUUAGAAUUUUAGUUCCAUUUAUUCAUAGGUAGUUUUUUUCAGAAAUACAAUAAAAACUAUUUAGAAUUAGACCAUUGUAUGGUACUUUAUACAAAGUGUGAAAUAAACUGUUUAAUAGAUACUACAUUAGAAAAAAAAAAAAAACAUUUAUAUUUUGUUUAGAAAUUACAACAAACUUUGCGAUGUUGGCAUAAUUAUAUUGAAAUAGAAAAAGUUAUACUAGAUUGGAUUGAAACUAGUAAACAAGUAUUUUUCGAGGAACAUACUAGUUCAAGACAAGCUUUAGAGUCUCAAAAAGUAUACAUUUAUUUUAAUGGCUAUUAAAUUAAUUUUAAAAUAAUAUCUAAUGCAACAAUAUUUUUAGGGAUAUUUUGAGUAUUCUAGCAAUAAUAAAUGGGAAACUGAGUUGGAUAAUGUUGAAGGUGAACUACUUAAGUGUAUUGAACCUAGUGAACAAGAAAUUAUAAGAAAUAGAUCAAGAGCAAUCCGUUUAAAAUAUCAAGUAAUAAUUGAAUGUUAGAUUACAAAAUUGAUUAUAACAAAUAUUUUAUUUAUAUUAUUUACAGGAGUGUUUGAGUAUGGUUCCUACAUAUAUAACAAGGGUUGAAUUUAAAUUAAAUGAAAUUACAUUUAAUCAAUGUAUGAAUGAAGCAGAAAAAGAACUUAAUGUUGAGCAACAAAUGUUUAGUAAAAAUGACAAUGUUAAUUUGAUACUCAAGCGGAAUAUAGUAAACGUUUUUAUUUUAUCAUUAUAUUUUGGUAUUCUAUAAAACUUUAUGUUAUAGGAAUAUUUUGAUAAUGGUGUGAUAUUGAAAGAACUUAGAUCGUGUUUAAACAAUAUGAAUAUUGCUAAUAAAAAAACAUCAAAUGUAUUAGUUGAUUCAGUUUUAAAUAAAUCAAUUAAUCGAUUUGAAAGCAUAGAAAAAAGAAUCACAGAAAUGAGACAAAAAUGUAAACAAAUACCUAAUCAAUUUCAAGAUUAUAAAUCUAAGUUUAAUGAUUUAGAAAAUUGGAUGAAUGCAGUUGAUGUAAGCGUUGAAAGACUAUUAAAAGGGCUUUUAAAUGAUGAAGAAUUUGAAAAAGAAAAAUCUACAUUUCAAGUAAAUAUUUUAUUUAAUAAAUAUAAUAUUGCUUUUUGAAUUAAUUUUGUGAUAAUUUAUCGUCACAAGGAAAUUUGCCGAGAUGUCGAUAGUAAACGUGAUGACAUGAAGUGGAUGGUUCAGGUAUUAGACAGUUUACUACCAUAUGUAUCUGAAGAACAACAACAUAUAGAUCAAAAAAAAUUGGAAGAUCUAAUAGGCCGAUAUAAACAUUUAAUUCCAACUAUAGAUAUGACAAUAACAAAAACUGAAAUGUACACUAAAUGCGUUACCUACAAAAAAGAAGUAACAGAGGUUAGAUAGUAUGAUUAUGUAUUUACGUAUUUUUUUUUUUAACUAUAUCUUUUAACCAUAUAACUACAAUUUUUUAUAUUUGCUACUUUUUAUUAGAUUGGCAAAAUUCUAGAAAAGACAAAAGAAGAGCAAUCAUUAAAGAAAGGAGAUUCGUGGGAUGAUUUAACUGAACUUAUUAUUAAUCAAGAAAAAGUAAUUGAAGGACUUGAAAAACAACGAAUGAUUGUAAUGUCAACAUUACAACGAGGCAAGCAAUUAGCUAAAGAUUCCUCUGCUGUACCAAUCUUUAUUCCACAACUUGUUUCAAAGUUGGAAACAGAUUGGAGUUUUGUAUAUAAUGAGUCUAUUGACAAGUUCAAUAAAUUGAAAAAUGCCCAAAAAUUAUUGCUGGAAUAUACAAAAACCAAAAAUGAAUUAAUGGCAAUAAUUAGAAAAGCUGAAGAUGAAUUAAAAACAGUAUCUGAUGAUAAUAAACAUAAUUCUCAAGAAAUUUCAAUGCAAUUAAGAAGUAAACAAGAGUUAAGUAUUGCGUUGCGUGAAGCAGCUGAAAAUAUGUUGAACAAAUUAAGAGAUAUAUCACACAAUUUGCAUAUUCCUGAAAAAGAAUUUUCUAUUGAAAACGAAGUAAGAAUAUAGUACUAUGAACUUAAUAUUAAUAUACCAUUAAUUAAUCUAAACUUAUAUAGUAUCUAAUUUUAAUUUUAUACAUAUUUGUUUAUGUUUAUUUAGAUUAAUAUUAUAGAAAAUAAAUUAGUAAAUACAAUUCAAACGGUAGAAAAAGAAACACAGAGAUUAGAGAAGCUUUCAAUGAAGUUAUCUGAAUUAGAUUCAGGAUUAAGUAAAAUUCAUGUUUGGUCUGUUGAAUCUGCUCCUGCUGUCAUAGAAAGAAUUCAACAAGAUCAAACAAAUCCUGAAAUUAAAGCUCGAGGAAUUGAAGAAGUCCAGGAUGAACUACAAAAAAGACGUAAUAGUUUGGAACGUUUAACACAAGAUUUGCAAAGUUUUGAAAAAGGUAAAUAUUUUUAAUAUCUUAGUACUACAAAAAUGAAUAUUUUAGAUUUGGAGCAUAGCAAGUGAUUUAUUGGUUUUACUAUGACAUGUUUUUUUUCUGUCUGUAAACAACUUUUCGAAAAGAAAUCUUGUUCUGAUGUACAGAGUGUAACAUUUUCUGAAAGAAAAUUUUAUUUUGUUGAAAUAUGAGGACAUUUUUUGAUUUUUCAAGGAAUUUCCAUAAUUAUAAUAAGAAAAUUAUAGGUAACACGAAAAAUAUUUACAGUGCGCUGUAGAAUUACUGAUUUCAUUGAUUUUAAUUUUUACACUUUAUGUUUUUUACCAAAAAUAUUGCCUCAAUAUAACAAUAAGAAGAGACCUUUUUGGUUUCAUUUUUAAUCUAGUUUGUGAGAAUAUUGAUUUUUAAUUUCCCAGUAGUUUUUUAAAACAUUAAGGAAAACCUAAUUAACACAGAUAUAACAGGAAAAUUUACAAAAAUAACAAUUUUUUUUUGUUUUUUUGUUUUAAUCCAGUUAAAAUUCUUCAUAGAUACUUGCAAUUCUUACUGAAAACUUAUAUUUCUUUUUCUAGAGGUGGUAUAAUUUUAAAAACAUUUGAACUAUUUUUGAACCUAAUUUUUAUCUUGUAAGUUCUCUGUGAAUAAAAUUGUUAGACUAAAUAGAAAUGUUUGAAAAUUUAACAGGAGGUUAAUAAUAAGUUGUAUUUAGUGGUCAAAAAAUAAUUUUUGUGUAAUGUAAUUUUUUGUUAUAUGAAUUUUAAAAUCAAAUUUUGUUGAAAAUCUUAAUUAAUUAUUCAAAACAUGUAACAAUCAAAUUUUGUUUCCAAUGAUUUAUCGUUGGUUACAGGGGUAUAAAUUAAAUAACUCUAAGUAUUCCACCUUCUCAACUACCCACCUACAACAGUGGCCACACCAGUCUCCAGUAUUAACCCUUUUUUUUUUAUAAUUAUAUAUGUAUAAUGUAUAUAUUUAAAAAUAUUAAAAAUUAUAAACUAUCCAGUUGUCAUUUAUAUUAUGUAUGUGAACAUAAUUACUUUUAAGUUAAUAGAGUAGGUAAUUUUUAGAUACACAGUAAGUUAUGUAUGAGAAAAAGUAGUGGAUGUCAUUUUAAUAUAAAAAUUGGUGCCUUAUAAUAAUAAGGCAAAAAAAAUUUAAAUAAAUAUAUUUCUAAAUGAACUUAGUCCUGUAUUUUGGAUAUUUUUUUGAAAAAAAUAAUGUACCUAACUUCUAGUAUGUAGCAAUGUUUAUAAUGUAUUAUUUUUUUUUUUUAGAAAGUGAUACUAAUGAAACACAAAAACUACGACAAGAUUUGGAUGAAGUAAGAAUGUCUAUUUUAAAUUUGGAAUGCAAUACUAAUCGAAAGAAUGAAGAAAUUACAAUUGAUCUUAACGAAUGGCAUGUUCAUAAAGCAAAAUUAGAAGAAAUUAGACCCUGGUUAGAAAAUGUUGAAAGAAAAAUCAAUGCUGAUCAUGUUAAACCUAUAACAUUGGGAUUAGCAAAUGACUGGUUAAAAACAUUGCAAGUAAGUUGUGUUUAAUAAAAUUAAAAUAACAUUUAAAAUUGGGGUUUAUUAUAUUUUAUAUAUGUUCAAAUUAGUUGAUUAAUUCAGAGUGUCAAGAAAAAAUUGAAAAUCUUAAAACAAUAUCUUCUGACAAUAAAACUGCAGUUAUUCUUAAUGAAGUAGAUGCAAUUCAAUCUCGCUGCAUAUCUGUACAAUCAUGUGCAGUACAACAAGCAACGCGUUUACAAAGACUGAUAUUGAACUGGAAAGAGUUAAAUGAAAAAACACAAAAAGUAGAAGAAAAACUAAAUCACCCAUUAUUAUCCGAAUUGAAGGAAUUAAUAAUAAAUCAAUCACUUUCAGAAGAUGAGCUUGAGAAAAAACUAUUGGAAUAUAAAGUAAACUAUUUUACUUUUAUUUUUAUUAAAAUGUUUAUUUUUAACUGCUUUAACAUUAUUAUAUACAGAAAUUAUGUUUUAAUUAUUAUUAUUUCUUAUCAAAUUAUCAUUUAUUUUCUUUUUCAGGUCUAAUUAGUAUUCUCAUAAUUUUUUGUUUUAGGUAUCAUACCAAGAACUUAAUGAAUGUCAGAGUGAAAUUUCAAGUCUUUCACAAAGUUUAAAUGGAAUAAAUCAACAUUUUUCAGUUGAAACUAUAAGUGAUAUUAAGGAAAAAUUAAUUAAUUUGAAGGCAAAAAAUAAUGAAUAUUUGAAGCAAAUGCACAAUCAAAUGCAAACUAUUUCUAAUAUUAUUUCAGAAAAGUAAAUUAAUUAUAUUGAAAUUAACACUAAUAUUAUGUUUUAAUAUAUAAGAUUUCUUAAAUAAUAUUAUUUAAUCAUGUUUAUUGCAACAUAAUAAUAUACAAAACAUGUAUUAGCUAGAAUAGAUUGGUAUUGAACUUUUAAUGUGUAUUUUAGAAAAGAGCAUGAAAUCAAAAUAAAUACAUUUUGUGAAUGGUUAAAUGAAUUUGAUUCAAAGGUAAAUAAAUGCAAUAUUGUUAGUAGUAGUUCUAUUGAAGAAAUACUAAAAAAACUGCAUUCAUUUACUGAUGAACACAUGGAAAAACAACCACUAUUUACUGAAAUCAAAGAAGAUUUCAAACACUUCUUUGAUAAUUCUGCAAUACAGAAAUCAAUAAUGCAAUUCCAAGUGAGGAUUUUGAUUAUAUUUAAUAUUUUUAUAAAUAUUUAUUUAGAGGGAGGGUGGAGGCGAUUUUUAAAAUUCAUAUUACAAGAUAUGCAUUUAUAAUGAGUCAUACUAAGAAUAUAGGGUUAACCAUCUUCAUCACCCUUCUCCUCUUGAUCUCUUACUGUAUGAAUUAUGUGUAUAACUACUUAUUUAUUUUCAGGAACUUCAAGAUGUAUUGCAAAAAAAGAAAAUAGUACUUGAAAAAACUAAUGAAUUUUUUAUAUGGACUGAAACAUUGCUUGGAAAAUUAAGUCAUAUUGAAUUUCAGUUUGAUACUAAUCAAGUUAAAAUAAAUUUAACAAAUGAAAUCAAUAAAUGUUCAGAGGAAGUUGAACUAUGGAAACAAAACAUAAACUCAAUUGAACAUUUAUUACAGGAAAGUAAAACUGUUAUUCCUGGAUUGUCAAUUGCAGAACAAUUUAAACAAUUAGAAUUAAAAUUGAAACAAAUUCAGUAAGUGAAUUAUAUAAAAUUUAAAAAUUUUGUAUAUAAUUUGCAUAUAGAUACAGACAUACAUAUAUAUAUACAUAUAUUAUAUUACGGUGGUCCUCAUUUAUUUAUUUUUUUAAUGGCCAGCCCAAUAUUUGUUCAAAACUAUAAAAAAAAAAAAUGAAUUAUGUAAAGUUUUGUAAUAACUGGCCAACCAGGUGUGCCUCAAAGGGAUAUAAGUUCUGAAAAAUUUAUUUGAUUUGGUUUUUUGCAAAUACAGUCAAAAACAUUUAUAAUUAAAGAAAAAUAAAUUUACUAUAGUAGUUAUUGUGGUGCUGGUUUCAUCAAAUGUCAUCACCUACAAAAUAAAAAAACUAUCUAAAUAACUAAAAUCAACUAUUACAUACUAAAAUCAUUUUUUUCAGUUUUUAUGUGAAUGGGUUGAGUAGGUAAUAAAAACACAUAAUCAUUAAUCAUAAUCAUUACAAAAUUUGAUACAAUUUAUUUUUCAUAGUAAUGAACACAUUAUUCCUGGGGUAGCUUGAUUGAAUUAACAAAAAAAAAAUAAAAGUAUACAAAUUAGGACAACCCUAAUAUAUACACAUAGAAAUAUUGAAUAAUUCAUAAGACUUAUCUAUAUAUAUAAAAUAAUAAAUUAACUGACUGAUCUAAAAAGGCAGAUCUAAAACUAAAAUUUGGCAUGAAGAUAACUAUUAUGUUGUAGACAUCUGCUAAGAAAGAAUUUUUGAAAAUUCAAUCACUGAGGAAGUAAAAUAAGGAUUUUUAGGUACCCAUCUUUCAUAUGAAUAAAUAAUUGUUUAUUUAUGUAUUUUUGUUUGUCUAUGGAUUACCUUGGUGAUACAGAUGAAAUAACAAAAAAAUUAGCCCAAGAACACUAGGUGGAACUGAAAUGUUCUUAGUAUUUUUGGAACAUUAAUCUGUAACUUAUUAAAAUAAUAAUAAUAAUAAUAAUUUAUUCAAUUCAAAUAAUGAUUAAAUACAAUUUAAAAUUAAAAUUGUAUAUAAUAUGAGCUGAUUACCUUUCUCUUAAAGGAAGUUGUGGCAAAAGGAAAGGGGGUUAUUCAAUCCUAUUAAAUCAUAUUGUUAUUAAUUAUAGAUAAAAAAAAAGAGAAAAUUCAGAAAUUUAAUAGCCUAUCAACUUAUUAGAUUUUUUUUCAAAAUGUGUGUUUUUGUGUGUACAUUAGGAAUGUAAAAAAAAGGUCCAUUGAACUUCGUUUGGAAGUUAUCUAUAGGAGAAAACUUCACAAAGUUAGUGGUUUUCCGUUUUACGUAUUUCUUAAUCAGAAUUUAACAUUUUCAAAUAUGUUUUUAAUGCUCAAUCCAUUGGUAUAAUCAAAAUGUACCUAUCACAGUUACUUUUGAAGUUAUUGUAUAUAAACUUUGAAAAAUAGCAUUUUCAAAAUUAAUCGUGGUUUUGCACAACAAAUUGAGGGUUAUUUUCAAUUAAAAAAGAAAAAUGAGAUAGAGUGACCCCGCCAGAUCUCUAAGUGCACCCAAAAUGCUAUUUUUCAAGGUUUAUGUACAAUAACUUCAAAAGUAAUUGUGAUAGAUAAGUUUUGAUUAUACCAAUGGAUUUAAGCAUUAAAAACAUAUAUUUGAAAAAAAAAAUUUGAAAAUGUUAAAUUCUAACUAAAAAAUACGCAAAACGGAAAACCCGAACUUCAUGAAGUUUUCCCCUAUAACUUCCAAACCAAAUUCCGACCUUUUUUAUAUUCUUAGUGUACACUCAAAAACAAACAUUUUGAAAAAAAAAUCUAAAAAAUCGAUAUUAGGUUGCUAAACUAGAAUCGUUCCUUAACUAAACAGUAGUGUUUAACUUUGAAACUCUGAGGCGACCUCCCCUUCUUCCUUUAGAAAUAAUACUUGUUUUAUAAAUAAUUGAUAAUAAUACUAAAAAUAAUAAUAUAUUGUCUUGACUAAAUUGUAUAUCAGAAUGUACUUAUUAAUUGGAUUGCAGAGAAAUACUCGAAAAAUUGAAUACGCGGAAAAUGUCAAAUAGCUCUAAGGUAUUCAUUUCGCUGUAUAGUUUUAACACAACUUGUAGGUGAUUUUUGGGACUGUUCUAUUAUCUGAUGUUUUACUCUAUAGAUUUUUGUGAUUUUUAAACGCGAGUGUUCGGUUUGUAGAUGAGAAGUCUAAUGAGAUAAGUUUAAAAAAUUAAUUAGUUAAAAACCUACCUAGUUAUAUUAGUUAUUAAUACGAUGACAAAACUGUACCUACCUACUUUACACAUUUGCUAACCGUCAUAAAAGUCAUCAAAAAAAUCAUCGUUAUCAUUUUUAUCUGGGAAAUGAUAAAACCCACUUCAUCAUCGGCUAUUGUUUAUUGAUUUACUUAUUGGUUUCCCUGCUGAUAUGGAGCAUAAUUUGGUUGUCAUCUAUUACUCUAUGUUGUUACCACGAUGUAUAGAAGAUAAAAGAGUACCUAAUAUCUAUUAUCUUCUCUUGUCACGACUCAUGAGUCACAGGUAACUUUCAAAAAAACUUAUUAUUAUUACUAUUAUUUAAAAAUAGCAAAGCAUUAAUUAUUAAAGAGUUAGCAUAUAAUACUAUAAUCUAUAUAAUAUAUUACCUAUAUAAAAAUGAAUCGAUAUUUGUUGGUGAUACCUUAAUUUGAAAACGGAGAGACCGAUUUGGCUGAAUUUUUUUGUUCUGUUCGUAAUAAUUUGUCAGGACAAUAUUUUUAUGAAAGAUAGUUUUUGGAAAAUCUGCCGGAAAAGUCGUAAAUUUAAAUUUAUAUCACCAAGGUAACCCGUAAAUCAAUUAAAACAAUUUGAUAAUUGACGUUCAACUCUGAUGUCACAUGUUUCCAUAACAGCAUAUUGAUGAUAAAUAAAAUUGAAGGUUUGUAUGAAAUAUUGGUUGCAUUUCAAUUUGAACUUUACUCUGUUAGGGCAGAAGGUUUUUUUAACUUACUAAAGUUCCUACAGCCCUUCAAAUGAAGUCGGGGGAUAAUAUUUUUUUUGUAUUCAUGGUGUAAGUUUUAAGGAUGUGCCUUUUGUUUUUAAAUUUUUAACCUCCUCAGCCAUUUUUAUGCCUAGAUGUCAUGUUUUCACAGGAAAUAGUCUUAUAAAUUAUUCUUAUUUUUAUCUAUUAGGUAUUAGGUAUUAAAUGUAUUUUUUUUAAAUAUUUUAGAGAAAAAUUCAAAGCAAAAGAAGAAAAUGAACAAAAGGUAAAGAAUUGCCAAAUAACUGUUAGUGCUAUAAAUAAUGGUAUAAUUAAACAAAUUAAAACACUAGAGAAUACAAUAAAUGAUCAAAUAUCAACUGUUAAGUCAUGGAAUGACAUUAAUAUUGUAAUACCAAAAUUAAAAGAAUUAACAGAUACAAGUGAAUUAAUGGAACAAGUAAAGGCUCUUGAAAAAGAAGGAGAAUUGUUAAUCCAGUUAGAUAAGAGCAAUUCUAUAUUUGUACAAAAUAUUUUAUUGGAAAUAAAUACAGAAUUGUCUAAUUUGAAUACUACAUAUGAACGAUCAAUUGCAAAUUUAACAGAAAUAAAUGAUAACUGGUUAAAAAUAAUUGAUGUUAAAAAUAAAAUAAAUUCAACUAAAGAAGAAUCUAAAAUUAUUUUGGGAUUAAUUGAAUCACCUAAUGAUUUAACAGAAGCCCAAGUAAUUGAAGAAAAAUAUAAUAAAGUAUUAAAACAAAAUACUUUAAUAUUGGGUUCAUUGCCAGUAAUGGAAGAAGCUGUAAAGAAAUUGGUGAUAUUAGCUAAAGAUUAUCCACAAUUAAAUAUAAAAAAAUUAGAUCAAAACUUUCAAAAUGAUUUAGAGAGUUGGGAAAAAUAUCAUGCUAAAAUUAAAGAAAAUGCUGAAAUUGCACAUUCUCAGCAAGUUAUUUGGAAACAAGUAAAUCAGACUAAAGAUAAUAUUUUGCAGUGGUUAUCAGAUGUAAAUAUUGAACUUUUAGAUUGUACCUCCAAUUUUGAUGACAUUGAAAACAUUAAAAAUAAACUUGUUAAAUAUUCAGAAGAAAAACAAUUCAAUUUAGAAUUAAAAGAUAAUAUUGUUGAAAAAAUUAAAAAGCUAAAAAGCUUAAAUGGAAAUAAACCGAUCAUAACAUUAGAUUCAUUAUGUGAAUUAUUGGAUGACCAAUUUACUGGUGUUGAAUGUAUUGCUAAUAAUUUAACCGGACUUCUUAAUGAUUUUUCACAACAAGAAGAAAAAAUAAGAACUGAAAUAAAAAAGCGUAGUAUUGAAAUUAAUCAAAUACGAGAAAAUGUAAUUAAGUGUGACAACUUAAAUAAUGAAUUAGAUGCAUUAUUGGUUAAUUUAAAAUCUUGUCAAAAAUGCAAAAAUGAACUAAUCAAAAUGAAUCUAAAUAUAGAUUCCGUUAAUCACUCAGUAUUAGAAAUGACUGAUACAUUUCCUAUAAUUUCAGAAUCAACUUUAAUUAAGGAACUAAAAAGUCUUAAAAAAAGAUAUGAAAGUGUUGUACAACAAGUUGACAAAGUAGAAACAACUUUAAUGACAUAUUUAAAAAAACAUUUAGAAGAUGAUAUAAAUAAUCUUCUACAUUCAAUUAAAAGUGCUGAUGAAAAAUUAACAUGGUGUAAACCAGAAGAUGAAAUUGAAAAAGAACAGAUUGAAAUCAAACUUCGGUCUGUUGAAGACAUUAAAGGAAAUUUAAAAGCAGUUAAGGAACAUAAAUCUAGAAUAGAUUAUGUUUUAGAAUAUUUAAAUCAAUAUUCUUCAACAGAUUUAAAUUUAGAAGAAGUUAGUAGUAACAACGAAUUAUUAAGUACGAAACUUGAAAAUACUGAAAAACAAAUAAACAAGAUAAGAAUAGUACUUGAAAAAAUUAUUAGCUUAUGGGUUAAAUAUCAAAAAUAUCUAGACAAUAUUAUCUCAUUAAUAAAUAAUGUAGAAAACGAUAUAAAAAAAUCCGUAGAAAUUCCUAUUAAUAUGAGUUCUAUUGAUAUUAUGGAAGAAAAUAUUAAUGCAAUUCAAACAAAAGUCAAUGAUUGUGAACAAUUAUUGAAUGAACUAGUAUCUUGUGUUGAAAAUAUAAAAUGUGUUCAUAGUAAAUCAACAUUAGAUAAGCAGGUAUUAAAAAUUAAGCGUAAAUUAGAAUCCUAUCAAAAUAGUGUUGAUAAAUGUUUAGAAACAAUUAGACGUUUAAAAUUAAUGAAAACAGAAUUCAACCUUUCCUAUGAAAAAGCUAUUAACAACAUCAAAGUAUUAAACAAUCAACUAAAAUCUAUUGAAACUGCUCAACCUGUAGGCAAAAAAUCUAUUGAAAAUGCUCAAUCAGAUUUAAUAACUAUGAAAGAUCUUAAUAAACAACUUGAAGAAAGUCAACAAUUAAUUAAUGACACAGUAUCAAAAGGUGAAUGUAUGUAUCCUGAUAUAACUAUGGAAAAUCGAGAUGAAAUACGAUCAAAAUUGAAACAAUUAAGAUCAGCUUGUGAAAAUGUAAAUGACGAGUGUGGUAAUAUAACAAAAAUAAUUGAAAAUAUUUUAGUACAAAAAUCAUCAUUUGAAGAAAGUCAUAAUCAAAUUCAAAAUUGGCUCCGUGAAACAGAAGACAAAUUGAUUGAUUGUAAAAAAAUAAAAAAGAAAAAUAUUAUGGAUAAAAGAAUAAAUUGUAAUAAUUUAAAGUCAUUAAAACAAGAUUUGAUUGCUUAUGAAGAUGUUAUUCAUCAAUUCAAAGAGAAAGUAACUCAAUUAAAUGAACCAGAUACUGAUUUAAAACUAAAAGAUACUCAGAAAAAAUAUGAAACUAUUUUAUUAGAAGUAAAUAAAUAUUUAAAUUUAAAUGAAUCUCAUUUAAAAAACCAUGAAUUAUAUAUAGAAAAUAUUGAAAUUUUUAAAAAUUACUACAAAUUAUUACAAGAUGAAUACUCAGUUGCAAUAAAUAAUAAUUCUGAAACGGACCUGGAUGUGUUCAAAAAUAUAAUUAGUCAUAAAUCUGAAGGUGAAUUAAUAUUAGAAAAAUGUAGAAACUUUGGAAAUAAAGUGAUGAAGGAAACUGAUAAAAAUGGUAAGACUAAUAUACAAAAUGAACUUGAAGAACUUAAAACCAAUUGGGAAAGUUUGGUUUUAAACUGUGAGAAUACUUUAAAAAUGUUAAAUCAAAAACAAAACCAAUAUGACAAAGUAUUAACUAAAAUUGAUACUCUGGAUAAACAUCUAAAAUCAAUUGAAACGCAAAUUAAGGACAGAAGCUUAAAAAAUUCAUUAGCAAGCAAACAACAAUAUUUAGAAAAAUUAAAACUAUUUGAUGAGGAUAUCAACAAAAUUUACAAUGCAAUUUUAGAAAUACAAUCUGAUACUCUUGAAGUUUCACCAGAUGUUAAUAGUGCUAUAUCUAAUCUUAUGAAAACUUAUCAAAAUAUUAAAACUAAAAC